CGAACGUUUCUAAGGCCCGCUGGACACUGUGGCAAGCAGGGACCCUGCGGAGUGACACAGUAUCAUAAGGGCAAGGAUUCUGAGUGCCAUGGAAAACUGUGUAAGGACAGGAAACAGAGUGGCUACAGAGGUCAUACUAAGCCUGCUUCUGCAAAACGGUUGAAAUGACAAAGACGGCUGUGCUGAGACUUGAGUGUGCUAAGCCCAGUGUGGAGCUAAGAGAAGGCCAGCUAGUGAGAAAUGUAAACUUUUUAACUAGGAGUCGAUAAGAAGAGAGAAAGGGCCAUGUGACUCAG
RNAcentral lists this long non-coding RNA (296 nucleotides) under Mus musculus (house mouse). RNAcentral describes it as "long non-coding RNA chr2:72360246-72360542". The record is from RNAcentral. Lineage: Eukaryota; Metazoa; Chordata; Mammalia; Rodentia; Muridae.